CUUUCACCUCACCAUGGGAGUAGCAUCUUCUGGCAGAGAAGCAGGGUGGACAGCUGGGAGCAGUAAUAGUUUGAUCUGCUGCAGGCUGUCAUGGUCACACCUGUGGCAAGCUACGUAUUUGUCAUUUUCCUCUGGAUGGUCCCAAGAUCAAUCCUCCUCAAGUAACACAGGGUUACUGUGAAGUGCUGCUGAGUGGAGUUCAGCCAGAGCUGUGGAGAGCCCUUUCACCAAGGUAUUGUGGAAGGGAGGAAGCAAGGAGAUACAUUCAUCUGGACUGAGUUCAACUGCAAUACCAGAGCCUAACAGUUCCUUGUGGCACUCCAGAAGGUUUUCUGCUCACCUCUACUUUAGGCUGGUGAAUUAUUUCCUCUUCAGCAGCACUUCACUUUCUCCAUGGGCUAGGAGAUCAAAUGUAGUGUUAUCUCACCACUUAUGAUCACACAGCAAAGUUGUCCUCUGUGUAUUUAUCUAACAUGAGACAUAC
Phalacrocorax carbo (great cormorant) is the source of this 484-nucleotide non-coding RNA. NCBI's taxonomy places the organism in Eukaryota, Metazoa, Chordata, Aves, Suliformes, Phalacrocoracidae. The record is from RefSeq and is a predicted model, not a curated record.